Long non-coding RNA from Aegilops tauschii subsp. strangulata, 775 nucleotides. RefSeq lists it as uncharacterized. NCBI's taxonomy places the organism in Eukaryota, Viridiplantae, Streptophyta, Magnoliopsida, Poales, Poaceae. The record is from RefSeq and is a predicted model, not a curated record.
UCCACCCCGACUGGCAGCUAGGGUUCCCGCCGGCGCCGCCACAGGCGCCGCUACCAUCCUUGCUCCGCUAUCUAUGGCCACCAGAGAAGGCGCCCUCCUGAGACCCGCUCUCGUUCAAACCUUCUCGUCUUGGCGUCAAGGCGUGCUAUUCUGCCUGGCCGCCUUGGUGGUUGCAGAUGAGGGGGAGGAAGGGAUGGCAUCAAGGUGUUGAUGGUGGCCCUAGGUCGAGACGGAGAGAUGCAGAGAUGCGGGGUGGUGCGGAUGGAGAGGCAGCUCCAGAUCCGCGCGCAGCCGCCCACACUCUCCUUCCUUCGCUGCCUUCCCUGUGCUCAGCUCCGUCUUCUCCCCGCCCUCCAUCCCCAUGUGUUCAGCAGCGACCCUAGGAGGAGCUCGAGCCACAUCGGUGAAGGUUCUCUGCUAGGUCUGGUGCUACUACUCCGUCUUCGAUCCCAGCCAUCUCGCACGUUCCUGAGAUCAUCGUCUUCCUGGCCGGGACCCCUGGUGAGAGCCUCUCUCCAUGCCCCAACUUCCUAAGCACAUACGUAUCUCCUAAUGGUGAAUCUUUGACUGAAUUUGUUACACACGACGUUUACUGAAACUAUUGUGGUCUGAAGAACAGCUUACUGAAAUUGUUCUAGUCUGAAAAACAGUUAUCUGAAUCUGUUGAAGUCUGAAAGUGUUAGUGUGAGCUGUCUGCAACUGUUGUAAUCUUGUAGACAGAGUAGAUCAGUUGAUUCAUCUCUUUUCAGCCUUAACAGAGAAGAUGGUGAUGAUA